CAGUCUUUCACUUCCAUAUAUUUCACUUCCAAUAUCACCUGACACAUGAUGAUGUAUUCUCUAACGUGUCUGCUUGUUUUGUGUAUGUGUGACCUCAGUUUUUUCCAAUUUACCACAGCUACCAGGUAGAGGUACUGACGGUGUCUGUGAUUAAGCAUCAUACUAUUACAGCAUCUACCAAUAAGAAUAUUAAGACCAAAUAAAUUCUCCCACUAGAUUGACUACACAGUAGGUAAAUUCGGAGAAUUAUUUGCGAAGCCAAAAGCAGCUUUUGAAAGCAGGAACCUGGGAAUCCAAGCAGUGGGUGUUUUGAGGAUGAUCCAGAUACACUUAGGAGUAUUCAGAUCAUGAAACUCCAUGACAUGAAGGGAAAAGGUGAGGCAUCACUGCAAUAUGAUGUUAAAAUAGUAAUCUUGGCCUGGUGUGGUGGCUCACACCUGUAAUCCCAGCACUUUGGGAGGCUGAGGUGGGAGGAUUGGUGAAGCUAGGAGUUUGAGACCAGCCUGGGCAACAAAGUGAGACCCUGUCUCUACAAAAAUAAAAAAUUUAGCUGGGUGUGGUGGCACCUGCCUAUAGUUCCAGCUACUCGGGUGGCUGAGGCGGGAGUAUCACUUGAGCCCAGGAGGUCAAGGCUGCGUUGAGCUGUGAUUACACCACUACACUCCAGCCUGGGCAGCCGAGUGAGACCCUGUCUCUGAAAAAAUAAAACAACAACAACAAAACAAAAAACAAAAAAACCUAUCUUGAACCAUUCCCCUCUCACGACAAGGUCUUAAUGGGGGCAGAUAAUAUGACAGAGAGACAUUCAGAGCAGGCAGAGGUGUCAUCGAUUUGAUUCACGAGUCUGAAAUCUUGUUUUUAAUGUUUAAGCAUUACUCUUUGACAAUUGAGAGAAAACAAUCCCCCUGGGAGGAGGAAAGUGGCCAAAAGAAAAUGGAACAGCUGAGAAAGAAUGGAAAUGAUUCUAAUGCUCCACGACACAGAGCCAAGUGGGAGGGAAGCCAGGGUAAAUGAUCCGAGCCCGUCUAUGAAACAGCCCGCCUCAGCUUGCGCGCUGGGUGCUUACUCAGUGAAGCAAUAACAACUCUGUCAUGGCUGACACAGCUGGAGCUCCUCCAUGUUAGUCAGCUGCAGGAAACCAGCCUAUGUCCAUUGUGCAAGAAGAGUCUGAACACUAGAGACACAGGCACACAAGAUUGCAUCUCUACUCCGCUUCUCCUUGGUUGUUAUGGGAAGUGAGUGUCUCAAGUUAAAUAAACUAGACUCUGGGGAACUAUACAGUAAAGACUUAGUGAUCGGCACAGCUUGGCAUUUAUGGUGAUUAAAGAUACAAAACAUAUUACAACUUUAAUUUGUCUUAGUAA
RNAcentral lists this long non-coding RNA (1364 nucleotides) under Homo sapiens (human). RNAcentral describes it as "non-protein coding lnc-POLR2B-3:2". Lineage: Eukaryota; Metazoa; Chordata; Mammalia; Primates; Hominidae. The record is from RNAcentral.